UCCACGCCGUAAACGAUGGGCACUAGCUGUCGGGCGUAAGCUCGGUGGCGGAGCUAACGCGUUAAGUGCCCCGCCUGGGGAGUACGGCCGCAAGGCUAAAAACUCAAAGGAAUUGACGGGACCCGGCACAAGCGGUGGAGGCAUGUGGUUUAAUUUCGAAGCAACGCGCAGAACCUUACCUGGGCGUUG
Molecule: ribosomal RNA, 189 nt
Filed under: uncultured bacterium
Lineage: Bacteria
Description: partial 16S ribosomal RNA
Rfam family: Bacterial small subunit ribosomal RNA
Source: RNAcentral